This 4449-nucleotide long non-coding RNA is filed under the name Homo sapiens (human). Its description in RNAcentral is "HSALNT0379597". Lineage: Eukaryota; Metazoa; Chordata; Mammalia; Primates; Hominidae. The record is from RNAcentral.
CUCGGGCGCCGCCGCCCACCGCACGGGCCGUUACCGACCCCGCGCCGCCCGCGGCCCGCGCGCCCCUUCCCGGACAGUUCCUCUCGGCGCCCCCGAGUCCUCCCCGCGCGCCGCUUCCCGGGUGGGCCCUUCCACCAGAACCCCCUGGUAGAUCCUCCCCUGGUGCCCUGGGGGUAGAGGGGAGAUCCUCCACAAGGGCCAUUUCCCUGGUGAUCCCUCCCUGUGCCCCACAGGUCUAAGGAGAGGAGAGUCCAGUGAGUGACCCAGACGCCCCAGCCAGGAAGAGCAUGAGGUGCGAAGGGGGCUUCCCAGAUGGAGAGAAACAGAUGGUCCCAGAGUGGCUUGGAGACAGGUGCAACAUCAGUGUUGGGGGAGGACAUGGAGCGGAGCGUUCAGGGCUAUCAGGAGGGAGCCCCGUGGCCACGGUGCAAGAUCUAGGCAGGCGGGACAGACAUGGUCAGGAUGCUGGGGACACAGCAUGGGGAAUCCAGCACACAGGACACCAUCCAGGAAAGCAAAGCUGCAGCCUGAGAUCUCCUUCCACCAACUCCUGGCAUGGCCAGAAAGUUAGCCAGAAACACCAGAAAGUGCCAGGCAGCUAGGAAGCAUGGGGAGAGCCCCCUGAAGCUGCGUGUGUAGUGCCUGCUUCCGCUGCCAUCCCAGAAAUGGACGAGCUUCACCCUGAGAACCCAGCCACACCACUGGGACACAUCCUGACAGUGACAUGCACACUCUUCCCUGGCCCCAGCCUGGAGAGGAGCCUCCUGAAGACACCAGCCUUUGCUCCUUCUCCCAGUGGGAGUGGAGAGAACUGACUGCUGGAGUGGAGACAGUCAAGGCUGUCCUUCUGAGGGAGCACAGCACAGGGUCUGGUGUCCCAGGGAGGCAAUCUGAAAUUCAAGCCAGGCCUCCCCAGCGGAGAGGACACACCCCUCACCAUGCAGAGUGACGUUUAGUAAACUCUCAAAAGAGAGCACAGAGCCCCACUCCUCCAGCCGACCCAUACUCUGCCUCCCCACUCCAGACCAGUGAACAAGGUGGAUUGCCCUUAAGCCAGCUCAGAGGCAAAGUCCAAAGACCUCAGGUGAGUCAAACAAUAAAAACAAAGAAUUAAGAAGAAUCCAGCUGGGUGCGGUGGCUCACGCCUGUAAUCCCAGCACUUUGGGAGGCUGAGGCGGGAGGAUCACGAGCAGGAGGUCGAGACCAUCCUGGCUAACACGGUGAAACCCCGUCUCUACUAAAAAUAGAAAAAAUUAGCUGGGCGUGGUGGCGGGCGCCUGUAGUCCCAGCUACUCCGGAGGCUGAGGCAGAAGAAUGGCGUGAACCCAGGAAGCGGAGCUUGCAGUGAGCCGAGAUCAUGCCACUGCACUCCAGCCUGGGCGACAGAGCGAGACUCCGUCUCCAAAAAAAAAAAAAAAAAAAAAAUCCAUCCACUCCAUCCACUUAGUAGCAGAGCGAAUAGACAUUCAGGAAAGAGCUUUCACGUCAGAAAGCACUACAGAAGUAGUGGCAUAUCCCCGGAGGCUGAGGUGGGAGCAUUGCUGAGAGGUGGCACGUGACCACAUCCAUGUCAUUCAACAACAGAAAAACAAGUCAUCGAGGGUGUGAGGGGCCGGUGAGAAACCCAGUAUGGAAGAAAACACAACUGGGCUGAGCGUGGUGGCUCACGCCUGUAAUCCCAGCACUUUGGGAGGCCAAGGCAGGAGGAUCACCUGAGGUCAGGAGUUCGAGACCAGCCUGGUCAACAUAGUGAAACCUCAUCUCUACUAAAAAUACAAAAAAAUUAACUGGGUGUGGUAGCGCGUGCCUGUAGUCCCAGCUACUCCGGAGGCUGAGGCAGGAGAAUUGCAUGAACCCAGGAGCCGAGACCACACCACUGCACUCCAGCCUGGGGGCGGCACAGUGAGACUCCGUCUCAAAGAAACAAAAAUAAAAAAUAAAUAAAUAAAUAAAUAAAUAAAUAAGAAAACGCAACCAAAGAAACAGAAGAGGACUCCACAGGACUUCUUUCAGAGCUUCAUAGCAGCAUGAAUUCAACAAUCAGGAAUUCAAAUGCUUGACGACAAAACAGCAGGAUGGGAGGAAGAGUUAAGAGCCAAGCAAACCGGAAGCACCAAAAUCGCACCGUGGCUGGAUCAAGUCAUAAACAGCAAAGGGCAGAAUAUCAAGUUACUUGGAGAUGAAAGGCUUGAGAUAAUUUCAGAGCAAGACAAAGUGAUUAACACAAUAAUUUACUCAUUGAUUAUUUGUUAAACAUCUACUUCAAGCUACAGGCCACUCUAGGCCUUGGAGGGUAAGGAAACAGCACCUUUGCCCUCAGAGGGUUUGCAAUCUAGCAGGGAGGGGAACAUAAUAAAGUGUAUAAAACCAGGGCUCUGGCUCUGAAGUUCCAGCACUUUGGGCAGGUCACUUGAACCCAGGAGUUUGAGACCAGCCUGGGCAACAUAGUGAAAACCCAUCUCUACUGAAAAAUAUAAAAAUUAGCGGGGCGUGGUGGUGCAUGCCUGUAGUCCCUGCUACUUGAGAGGCUGAGGCAGGAGGAUAGCUUAGGCCUGAGAGGCAUAGUUCGCAGUGAGCCGAGAUAGCACCUCUGCACUGCGGCGUGGGUGGCAGAGCAAGACCCUGUCUAACAACAACAACAAAAACUGAUCUUAAGUCCAGCCAGUAAAGAUGUAAAUCAAAACAAAGACUUUCAGUGGGUCAAAUACUGGCGGUGAGCCUUGAUCUUCUGGUAAGAAAUGCCCUGCCAGGGGAUAUGGAAAUGUCAGUGCCAGUUCCUCACCAUUCACAGGCAGAAGUCAGCCGGUGCCGCCUCAGCCGAACCGUGCUUUGCUGCUGUAAACCAAACACACUCAUCUCUUGAUGUUUUUGUAAUUUCUAAAAAUAAUCGUAGAAGACUUUUUUUUUUUUUUUUUUGGAGACAGGGUCUCACUCUGUCACCCAGGCUCAAGUGCAGUGGGCCUAUCUCGGCUCACUGCAGCCUCGACUUCCUGAGCUCAAGCGAUCCUCCCACCUCAGCCUCCCAAGUAGCUGGGACUACAGGAGAGCACCACCACGCCCGGCUGAUUUUUGUAUCUUCAGUAUGGAUGGAGCUUCCCUUUGUUGCCCAGGCUGUUCUCCAACUCCUGAGCUCAAGCGAUCUGCCUGCCUUGGCUUCCCAAAGUGCCGGGAUUACAGGCCUGAGCCACGGCGCCCGGCCAUCGUAAGGAGACUUUUAAACUUGAGGUGAAGAAGCAUUCAUCUGCUUUUAGCAAUUUUUUUCUUUAAAUAUUUAAAAGUCUAUAAGUAGCAACUCGACACGUAUUUCUGUAUUUCCAUUACAUCCUUUUAUCUCCCCAUAUACAUUUAGAAAUAUCUGGGAUAACCUUUAGGUAAUGUUAACAGCUGUUAUUCCAGGGAGGACACUGGGCGCGUUUUUAAAGCUGUAUUCGUUGCUGUAUUAAUAGCAAGCGGUGUUUCUGCAAAGCCAAGGAAGGCGUUUCUCCAGCGGGGCCGCGUCGGGCAUUGUCUGGUGCGCCGGGGAAGGCCGCGAACUACAUCUCCCAGGCGCCCCGCGCCCCGUUCCGCGCCCCGCGCCCCCGCCCGCGCGGCUCCUGCUGUGGUGCCGGAGCGUCCUCGGCUCGGUCCGGAGCCAGCCGGAGUCACAAUUCGAAUCGGGCGUGGGAAGCCCGGGGGACCACGCGGCCAACCCUGGGCGGACCUGCGCGCCGGAGACCGCGUCCCCGGGAGCCCCCAAACGCUACCCCGCGCGGCCGCCCGUGGCGCUGCGGAGGCCUGCGGGUGGGGAGGCGCAGUGGCGGCCGGGGCGACGGCCUAAGCACCACACUACUGCUGCGAGACUUCGGGGGAUCCCCACUCCCCUCCCAGGAUCCUUCCCACUCCCCUCCCAGGAUCCUUCCCACUCCCCUCCCAGGAUCCUUCCCACUCCCCUCCCAGGAUCCUUCCCACUCCCCUCCCAGGAUCCUUCCCACUCCCGAGACUGCUUCUUCUGUCCCCUUGAUUCCACGCGCCUCAGAGACCCUCCCUCUGCCGUCCCGCGAAGAGCGCGCCCCUCCCCUUGCAAGGCACCAGUGGAACACUCAUGUAACCCCAGCUACUCAGGAGGCCGAGGCAAGAGGAUUGCUUGGGUCAAGGAGUUCAAGACCAGCCUGAGCAACAUACCAAGACUGUUUCUCUAUAAAAACUUACAAAAAAAAAAAUAAAGGCCGGGUGUGGUGGGAUGCACCUGCAGUCCCAGCUACCCAGGAGGCCAAAGUCGGGGGAUCACUUGAGUCCAAUAGUUCAAGACCAGCCUGGGCAACAUAGCAAGCCUGCCCCCCGCUCCGCCCCAACCACCAAAAAAAGAAAAAAGAAAAAGAAACCAAACCUACUGAAUUUGUGGCAAUUUUUAUGGCAGCUACAGAAAACUAGUACACAAAUCCCAGUUGUGACAACCUAAGCGGUCUCCAG